Long non-coding RNA from Oryza brachyantha (malo sina), 3523 nucleotides. RefSeq lists it as uncharacterized. NCBI's taxonomy places the organism in Eukaryota, Viridiplantae, Streptophyta, Magnoliopsida, Poales, Poaceae. The transcript is spliced from 7 exons. The record is from RefSeq and is a predicted model, not a curated record.
UAUUGGCUCUCUUCUCGUCUCCUUCUCUCGCGUACACCCGGCGCCCCCAUCGACCCGUCGCCUAGUGCCCUAUCCGGCCGCAGCGGCGUCGUCCCCAGCCAGGUCGGCGUCUUCCUCUCCGGCCGCCUCCUCGACCUCGCCAUCUCCGGCCAGCGCGGCCUCCUCCCGCCUCACGGACCUCCCGGCGCCCCGGCCCUCGUCUGUCGCCUUCAACCCCGGCCGGCGCGGCCUCCUCCCACCUCGGCGACAACCCGACCCCCGUCUGCCGCCUUCACCCCAGGCCGGCACCUCCCGACUGCCCCGGCUGCCACCGCCAACCCUAGCCAGCGUGGCCUCCACUGGUGGGCGCUGCCACCCCCAGCCGUCGCGGCCUCCAUGGCCUCCCCUAGAUCCAUGCAGAUGGAUUGAAUUCUGAAGUAGCAUCAGAGAUUUGGGACCUUGCAGUGUGUGAAUUCUGAAGUGUUUAGCAUCAGAGAUUUGGCCAAUUAGGUCUUCAGAUUUGGAAGGUUGAACACUCGAUUGGCAUGGUAGAAAGGGGAAGUUACAAAUUAACGGCAUGAGUUCAAAGGACGCCUCCUCAGGGCGGAUCCAGAACAGUCUAGAGUAGAGGUUCAGCUGGUUGAUUAUGAGACGAGUUCAGAUUCAUCGCUAUCAACUUUAGGUUCAGAAAAACUAGAUAGUUGUACAAGUGGGCCAAUAUGUCUUGAGUAUGGAUCAAUUGCAGAGGCAACAACACCGAAUGGGGCAGAUCCACAAAAGCUAGAUAGUGUUACAAUUGGGCCUUUAUGUCUAGAGAACCAGGCAAUUUCAGAGGCCAACCCUCCAACGGGUACAACUUAUGAAAUGCCUUUAUGUCUGGAGUAUGAGGCAAUUUCAGAAGCCAACCCUCCAACGGGUACAUCUUAUGAAAUGCCUUUAUGUCUGGAGUAUGAGGCAAUUUUAGAAGCAAACCCUCCAACGGGUACAUCUUAUGAAAUGCCAAGCUGGACUAUAGGUCUGCAAGAUGAACCAAUUCAGUAUGUUGAUUGGGAUAGGUUGGACAUAGAGGAAAAUUUGGAUGAUGAGGGGAAGGAUUAAGGUUAUGAGCGAUGACCAAUUUUUUCUCCUACUAGGGUUUAGAGAAGAGGAUGAUAGGGCCGCAAAUUAUGGGCAUGCUCCUAGUUCAAGUAAUGUUGAUGCAAGUGGUCUUGGAGUUGAUGAGGGCACCGAGGGUGCAUCUAUUCUUGUUGCCGAUUCAGUACCGGGUGAGCUUGUAAUAAGCUAUGAUAAGAACAACCCUUGUAUGGAUCGAGGCACUAAAUACCCCUCAAUGAAGGAAUUUAGGUUGGCAGUGAGACAAUUUGGUAUUAAGAAUUUGAGUUGGGCAAAGUUAAAACUGAUAAGGAGAGAUACAUGGUAACAUGUGCAGCUGAAGGAUGUAAAUGGAGUCUUGUUGGGCGUAGACAGAGCGAUAAUAAAACUAUAAUGGUCACAGUUCACAAUGAGGAGCAUAAUUGUACAUCUAGCAUGAGGAUAAGGACAACUACGCCUUCGCAAGGUUGGGUGGCUGACAGGGCUCUUGACAUCCUCAAGACUUCACCAACCAUGGGUGCGAAAGAGCUACUUACCAGGUUGCAAGAUGAACACAAUGUAACUCUGGCUUACAAUACAGUUUGGUGUGGGCUGGAGAAAGCAAAGAAAGAGUUGUAUGGAUCUUGGGAAGAAAGUUUUUACAUGUUGUAUAGUUGGAAGGAAGAAGUCCUUAAGAGAUCACCUGGUAGUGUUAUAGAAAUUGAUAUCAAGGUGGUGGAUGGGAGAGCAUACUUUCAUAGGUUUUUCUGUGCAUUUAGUCCUUGCAUUAAGGGGUUUUUGGCUGGUUGUAGACCUCACUUGAGUGUAGAUUCUACCCAUCUGAAUGGUAGGUGGAAUGGUCAUUUAGCUGCAGCGACAUUAAUAGAUGGGCAUAAUUGGAUGUAUCCUGUUGCAUUUGGUUUCAUAGACUCCAAGACUGAGGACAAUUGGGUUUGGUUCAUGUCACAGCUUCAUAAGGCCAUAGGAGAUUUAGAACCUCUUGCAAUAUGUUCAGAUGCAUGUAAGGGGUUAGAGAAUACAGUUCAUAAGGUUUUCCCUGAAGCUGAACAAAGAGAAUGUUUUUGGCAUUUUUUGAAGAAUUUUUCAAAGAAGUUCCAUGGCAAUACUUUUGCUAAUAUGUACCCUGCAGCUAGAGCUUAUAGGGAAGCGGUGUUUUAGAAGCACAAGACACCUAUUACUAAUGGUCCCCCAAAAGUUUGGAAAUGGUUGUCCACAUAUCAUAGUUUGAAGUGGAGGAGAUGUGGAUUCAACACUGCAAUCAAGUCUGACUACAUCAGAAACAAUAUUGCAGAAGUUUUCAAUAAUUGGAUUUCUGAAAUAAAAGACUUACCCGGUUGUUGACCUAGUUGACAGGCUAAGAGAGAAGGUAAUGGUUCUAGGGACAAGAGAAGGAGUAUUGGAGAACGACUUCAGGGUAGGGUUCUACCAGCUGUAAUCCUUCAACUAAAGGCAAGAACAGGAGGUUUAGGGCACUUGAAGGUUAUUACAGCUAGUCUACACACUGCCGAGGUGCAAGACUUCGGCAAGGAUUUUGGAAGGCAUGUCGUUACAAUAACAACAAAGACAUGCACUUGUGAGGAAUGGCAACACACCGGGCAACCUUGUGAUCAUGCAUUGGCCUUUUUAACAACUCAGAGAAAUGUGAACUUGGCAGACUAUGUUGACAUGUUUUACUCAGUGGAGAAGUUCAAGGCUGCAUAUGAGAGGGAGAUACCAGCUAUGCCAGAUAAGUCCUAUUGGCCAAAGGUUAACAUGCCAUUUGAUUUUGGGUGCACCACUUGGGAAGAGGAGUGUGGGGAGACAGAGAAAAUUGAGGAUUAAAGGAUGCCUUGAGAUUGGUGGUAGCACUAGGUCAAAGAGUGAUGCCAAAAAUAAAAAAGUAAUCAGAGGGCCUGUUACAUGCAAAAGAUGUGGAGAGAAAGGCCAUAGGCAAGCUAGCUAUAAGUGCUCACUAAAUGGAACAACAAAAAGGAAAAGGAAAACUAAGAAGGCCAAAGCUAAGAACCAAGCUGAACCUUCCACACCAAAAAAAACAACUAAUGUAGAUAGAAUUUUGCAAGAAAGCCCCGGAAUGGUUACAAGGAGGCGUCUUGCAAUGCUACUGGGUGGAGGAACAAUUAAUUCUGGAGCGGCAGGGGCUGGAUACACAACAAAUCAGUCUAGAGAAGCAAGCACUUCUGGAGGAUCAUCUCAACCUAUAAAGAAAAAAAAAGGUAACUCCCAAGAAAAUGAAAAUAACCUAAUUGCAUCAUGUGGAGUUGGCUACAAUUGAAUCUACUGAGAUGUGAAAUCAGUUCAAUGUUGUAUUUUUCUUAUUAAUUAUGUGUAAAAUGACAGCUGCAACACAUGUAUUUUGGAAGGGCCUGAGAGACGAACUCAUGUAUUAAGUCCUUUCUAAAUCUUUUGUCAUGUUCAGUAAUAGUUAUUACUAUUUGAGAUUGAUUAUGUGAUA